This 513-nucleotide ribosomal RNA is filed under the name uncultured bacterium. Its description in RNAcentral is "partial 16S ribosomal RNA". It matches the Rfam family "Bacterial small subunit ribosomal RNA", at positions 28 to 523 of the family's 1533-position model. The record is from RNAcentral.
GACGAACGCUGGCGGCGUGCCUAAUACAUGCAAGUAGAACGCUGAAGAGAGGAGCUUGCUCUUCUUGGAAGAGUUGCGAACGGGUGAGUAACGCGUAGGUAACCUGCCUUGUAGCGGGGGAUAACUAUUGGAAACGAUAGCUAAUACCGCAUAACAAUGGAUGACCCAUGUCAUUUAUUUGAAAGGGGCAACUGCUCCACUACAAGAUGUACCUGCGUUGUAUUAGCUAGUAGGUGAGGUAACGGCUCACCUAGGCGACGAUACAUAGCCGACCGGAGAGGGUGAUCGGCCACACUUGGCAUGAGACACGGCCCAGACUCCUACGGGAGGCAGCAGUAGGGAAUCUUCGGCAAUGGGGGCAACCCUGACCGAGCAACGCCGCGUGAGUGAAGAAGGUUUUCGGAUCGUAAAGCUCUGUUGUAAGUCAAGAACGAGUGUGAGAGUGGAAAGUUCACACUGUGACGGUAGCUUACCAGAAAGGGACGGCUAACUACGUGCCAGCAGCCGCCGUAA